GAGUAACACGUGGGCAACCUACCUUAUAGUUUGGGAUAACUCCGGGAAACCGGGGCUAAUACCGAAUAAUCUGUUUCACCUCAUGGUGAAAUAUUGAAAGACGGUUUCGGCUGUCGCUAUAGGAUGGGCCCGCGGCGCAUUAGCUAGUUGGUGAGGUAACGGCUCACCAAGGCGACGAUGCGUAGCCGACCUGAGAGGGUGAUCGGCCACACUGGGACUGAGACACGGCCCAGACUCCUACGGGAGGCAGCAGUAGGGAAUCUUCCACAAUGGGCGAAAGCCUGAUGGAGCAACGCCGCGUGAGUGAAGAAGGAUUUCGGUUCGUAAAACUCUGUUGUAAGGGAAGAACAAGUACAGUAGUAACUGGCUGUACCUUGACGGUACCUUAUUAGAAAGCCACGGCUAACUACGUGCCAGCAGCCGCGGUAAUACGUAGGUGGCAAGCGUUGUCCGGAAUUAUUGGGCGUAAAGCGCGCGCAGGUGGUUUCUUAAGUCUGAUGUGAAAGCCCACGGCUCAACCGUGGAGGGUCAUUGGAAACUGGGAGACUUGAGUGCAGAAGAGGAUAGUGGAAUUCCAAGUGUAGCGGUGAAAUGCGUAGAGA
RNAcentral lists this ribosomal RNA (602 nucleotides) under Lysinibacillus sp. RNAcentral's name for it is "bacterial SSU rRNA". It matches the Rfam family "Bacterial small subunit ribosomal RNA", at positions 108 to 696 of the family's 1533-position model. The record is from RNAcentral. Lineage: Bacteria; Bacillati; Bacillota; Bacilli; Caryophanales; Bacillaceae.